Non-coding RNA from Monosiga brevicollis, 83 nucleotides. Lineage: Eukaryota; Choanoflagellata; Craspedida; Salpingoecidae. The record is from Rfam.
CUUCUUGUGAUGAAAUUGGUAGCACAUGAAAAAUUUAAAAUUUUUUGUCGAAAGACAUGUGGGUUCGAGUCCCACCAAGAAGA